AUGACUGAGUGUCUUUGGCAGACUGAUUCUAAUAUUCACCAGGCAUUUUCCAAGAACGGCAUAUGUACAGGGCAUUUGUUGUUGGAAGGACUGUCACGAACAAUAAAAGCCACAGAGACGGGGAACCGAGUCAGAAAACAUCACAUGAACAGAAGGUACAAGUCACGCGGUGCACAGACGGACAGAGAGGGGUUAAUACAGCGAGGAGAAUCUGAAGCUGAGCUCUGGCAGCUGCUAAACGGCUCUGACACCUCACCAGCCUUCUCAUUCCAACCAGUAAGCCACCUUCAAAGUUGCUGUCAGGGAGAAACUCGGAAAACUUGGCUCUGGAAGAUCACAGAAUUCCGACGCACAUCGGCAGCAGAAUUCCCAGAGGACGCACAGAGCAGCUCUGAUACACAGGCCUUCACCAAGCCCUUCCCUGCGUUUACUUACAUUUACGUCCAAGGACACUAUCGCACGGAGUUACAAUAUCACAGCUGGAGCAUAAAUCAAAAGUAAUCCUGCAGACAAGCCUCUCUGUGUUCGGAGAAAGCUCAGCAUUUGUAUCUGCCACAAUGCAGUAAUGGAUUUCAUCGGGUUUGGAAAAGAAAGAGGAAACAACGGAAUGGGAUCCGACUUGGAAAUGAUAAGCGUGCAUUUCUGAUGAGUGAAAAUGUCCCAGUUAUUAUCUGUGAGGCAGUUUUAUAUAUAAACAAAUAAAAUGUGAUGCAUUCAAUGCCGGACUGGAUUG
Cyprinus carpio (common carp) is the source of this 733-nucleotide long non-coding RNA. The record is from Ensembl. Lineage: Eukaryota; Metazoa; Chordata; Actinopteri; Cypriniformes; Cyprinidae.